UUUUGUUCAUCCUUUUCUCAUCUUCAUGCUUGCCAAAAACUAGAAAGAAAAACAAAGAAAAAUUUUCUCAUCCUUUGGUUCAUCCUUGGCCAAAAAUUUUAAGGAGGAAAGAAGAAGAAAGGUGAAGAGAUUCGGCCAUGCAUGUAGCUAGGCUAAGCUCAAGAGCAAAGGGGAAAUAAAACCGAUAAAGGGAAGGAAAAAGUGGUUGAAUAGCUAGCGGAAUCGUUCGACAACACCCGAGAUUUUUGGUUCUCCAGCUAUCGGACUCGGGAUCUUGAAGUCGAAGUCGCCCACACUAUCAAAGGCUCUUUUGGGUACUAUUUUGGUUGAAUUUUGUUAUGGCAUGUAUAGGACUACCCAUUGUUGUCUUUCGAGUACUUUAUGAAAUGUAUAAGUGUACAGCCAUGCGAAAAUGGCUUGUAGAAGUGGAGUAUGGCAUUAGACCAUUCGUAUUUGUGAAUGUAUAGAUGGUUUCAUGAUGUAACUAUGUUGGAAUGGAAGUGUUGAGCAAAUGAUCAGCCACUAGAAUGGCUAAGUAUGAUCAUAUGUGGGCUUAUGUAUGACAAGGCCCUAGUUGGUCCAUGAAACCCCAAAUUAGGUAAGGUUCACUUUGAAAACAGAAGCUGAUAGCAGCAGUGGUGUGGAUUGGAAAAAUCACAAGAAUUCGUAGGAGUGGUAUUAAAUAGUGAAUAAAUUAUGUAAUCAAACCUUGAUGAAUCUACUUUCAUAUGGAAGUAACGAAACAAUUAUAGGAACAGUACAGAAAGAGAUAUUCGGGUUCUUGUGGAACAGGGCCAGAACAGUUUCUGGAUUCACUGUUCCGCCUUUGGAAAUUCACUAUAAAUUGACCAGAGAUAAUUAGGGGUCAUACCAUAUAUGUAUGGAUUCCUCUCUGAGUCUAGUUUCCAUAGAAACAAACGGCAUCAGUAUUGAAGCUCUGUGCAGAGAGAUAUCCCAGUCGUAAUGGGAAAAGGUCAGUGUAGUCGACCCCUGUAACACGGGAUACUUUGACUAAUAAACUGUACUAAUUGGCCCGACCAAAAAUUCUAGAAAAAAAUCCAUAGGUGGGGACAUGAGUCUAGUUUCAGGGAAAAAUCACAAAACUAAUUUUUGAGUUGUGAAACUCAAGUUAUGAUUUUUGAAGCGACUAGUACUCAGACUGGGCAGUGUCUGGAAAAUUUUUUUUCAAAGUUUGUUAACAUCUCGUGUCCGACUCCGGUGUCGGUCUCGGGUUCGGGGUGUUACAUUUUAUUGGUAUCAGAGCUACGGUUUAGUCGAUUCUAGGACUACCGUAAUGUUUUGGGUCUAGCUAUACAUGCCAUUUUAUGUGAUUACUUGAUAGUGUGGUGAUUUCCGACAAUUGUAAAUGUGUUUAUUUAUAGUAAUGGAUCCCGAUCGUGACCGAGAGGUAGCUGAUGAUCUUGAGAGUGUAGCGCCUGCUCCCGCACAAGGGACAGUGCCGGCAAACUCUCAACCUAAUGCUAGUAAUCAGAAUGAUGAAGCUAGACAAGCAUUCUAUAGCGUGAUGAAUGAUUGGUUUAACCAAUACAUUCGAACUAAUAUGGCUGUUCCACAACCUCCAUUCCCGAAAAAAUACUACCCCCGCACCUACAAUACCGCCGGUAACGGACCAAAUAAGGUCACAUAAGCCCCAGUUGACAGAAUCCGAAAACAUGGGGCUACUGAAUUUAAGGCUAUGGAUAGCGAUGAUGCCGAGCAAGCUGAAUUUUGGCUGGACAACACUAUCCGGGUACUCGAUGAGCUAUCUUGUACACCCGAUGAAUGCCUAAAGUGUGCUAUCUCCUUGCUACGUGAUUCUGCCUACUAUUGGUGGAGUACUCUGACUUCUAUUGUGCCCCGAGAGCAAGUAACUUGGGAGUUUUUCCAAACUGAGUUUCGGAAAAAGUAUAUCAGUCAGAGAUUUGUUGAUCAAAAACGGAAGGAAUUUCUUGAGCUUAAGCAAGGCUCCAUGUCGGUUACUGAUUACGAGCGAAAAUUUGUUAGACUUAGCAAAUACGCUCGGGAAUGUGUUUCGUCCGAAGCUGUUAUGUGUAAACGCUUCGAGGAUGGGCUGAAUGAAGAUAUAAAAAUGUUCGUUGGCGUUCUUGAAAUACAAGAGUUCGUGGUACUUGUUGAACGAGCUUGUAAAGCCGAAGAGCUUAGAAAAGAAAAGCAAAGAGUUGAUGAGUGAACUGGAGAGUUUCGUAAAACAUCCUCGGGGAGGUCUCUUCAACAGACAUCGAAGAGAUUUCGAGAUGAUGCGGGCCAGUUUAGAGGCACUUCGGGCCUUUUUGGACGAGAUCGUGAUCGACCCCCUGUGGGUACACGAGGCACUUCGGUCGCCAGUGUUGGGAAUGAACGUCGAGACAGGACGAAAUGCCGAUAUUGCGGUAAAUGGCAUUCGGGGAGUUGUAGAUUUCCUGACCGCUCCUGUUACAAAUGCGGAUCAGUGGACCACUUCAUUAAAGAUUGCCCGAGGUUGUCGGGACAGAAUGCAAAUCAGAGUGGGAGACCGGGUGCUACCACUGCUCGAGGUAGACCAUCUGGAAAUAUGGGCAAUGCUGGUGGUGGUCAGAGAGGAUCUAGAGAUGAUAUAACCAGAUCCGAAGCCCGUGCGCCUGCUAGAGCUUAUGCUAUACGUGCCCGCGAGGAUGCUUCUUCGCCUGAUGUUAUUACCGGUACAUUCACCCUCUUUGAUACUAAUGUAAUUGCUUUGAUUGACCCCGGUUCUACUCAUUCUUACAUAUGUGAAACCUUAGCAUCCAGUAAGACUUUACCUAUUGAGUCUACUGAGUUCGUAAUUCGGGUGUCAAAUCCCUUGGGUCGUUACGUGCUUGUCGACAAAGUGUGUAAGAAAUGUCCCCUGGAAAUUCGAGGUUCCUGUUUUCCAGCGGACUUGAUGCUUUUGCCGUUUGAUGAAUUUGAUGUUAUCCUUGGGUUGGAUUGGUUGACCGCGCAUGAUGCGAUUGUGAAUUGCAAGAGCAAGACUAUUGAUUUGAGGUGCGCAAAUAACGAAGUAGUCCGAAUUGAGUCUGCGGACUUGGAGGGGAUGCCAGCUGUAAUAUCAGCAAUGUUGGCACAGAAAUAUGUAAAAAAAAAGGGGUGCGAAGCAUACCUUGCAUAUGUGCUUGAUGACAAAGAAUUAGAAAAGAAACCCGAAUCUGUGCCGGUGGUUUGUGAAUACCCGGAUGUUUUUCCGGAAGAAUUACCGGGUUUACCACCUGUUCGGAAGGUAGAGUUUGGUAUUGAGCUUGUACCUGGGACUACGCCGAUUUCGAUAGCUCCGUAUCGUAUGGCACCAACUGAGUUAAAGGAGUUGAAAGCUCAGUUGCAAGAACUGACGGAUAGAGGUUUCGCUCGACCAAGUUUCUCACCUUGGGGUGCACCAGUAUUGUUCGUGAAAAAGAAGGACGGAACCAUGAGGUUGUGCAUUGACUAUCGUCAGCUGAAUAAAGUGACGAUAAAGAACAAAUAUCCGUUGCCGUGCAUCGAUGAUUUGUUCGACCAACUGAAGGGAGCCUAAGUGUUCUCAAAAAUAGAUUUGAGAUCGGGCUAUUAUCAGUUGCGAAUUCGAGAUCCAGAUAUUCCCAAAACUGCCUUCAGAACGAGAUAUGGUCACUACGAAUUCUUAGUGAUGCCGUUUGGGCUCACUAAUGCCCCUGCGGUAUUUAUGGAUUUGAUGAAUCGGAUCUUCAGACCGUAUUUGGAUCAGUUCGUAGUUGUGUUCAUUGAUGACAUUUUGGUCUAUUCAAGAGAUGAGACCGAACAUGCUGGGCAUCUGAGGCUAGUGCUGCAAAUUUUGCGGGAUAAGCAGUUAUAUGCUAAGUUCAAUAAGUGCGAGUUCUGGUUAAGAGAGGUUAGCUUCUUGGGUCAUGUGGUAUCCGCGUCGGGUAUUCGAGUUGACCCGAACAAAAUUUCAGCCAUACUUGACUGGAAACCUCCGAGAAAUAUUACUGAAGUUCGGAGCUUUUUGGGGCUCGCCGGUUAUUACCGACGAUUUGUGAAAGGUUUCUCGAUGAUAGCCACACCAAUGACGAAGCUACUUCAAAAGGAUGUUAAGUUCGAGUGGACGGAGAAAUGUCAGAAAAGUUUCAACCAACUGAAAACUCAUUUGACUGAAGCUCCAAUUUUGGUGCAACCCGAAUCAGGUAAAGAGUUUGUCAUUUAUAGUGACGCAUCCCUACUUGGGUUGGGUCGCGUAUUGAUGCAAGAAGGUCGAGUCGUCGCCUAUGCGUCGAGACAAUUGAAGCCACACGAGAGGAAUUAUCCGACCCAUGAUCUCGAUCUAGCUGCCAUCGUGUUUGCUUUAAAAAUAUGGCGACAUUAUCUGUUUGGUGAGAAGUGCCAUGUAUUUUCGGAUCACAAAAGUCUCAAAUAUUUGAUGACUCAACGAGACUUGAAUCUGCGACAAAGACGUUGGCUUGAGUUGUUGAAAGAUUACGAGCUUGUCAUUGAUUACCACCCGGGAAAGGCUAACGUGGUUGCGGACGCCUUAAGCCGGAAGUCAUUGUUUGCUUUACGAGCGAUGAAUGUGCAUUUGUCUGUUCUACCAGACAGUGUGUUAGUAGCUGAAUUAAAAUCUAAACCAUUAUUGACUCACCAAAUUCGUGAAGCUCAGAAAGUCGAUGAUGAAUUGGUUGCAAAACGGGCUAAGUGUUUUCCGAACGAGGAAUCGGAGUUUCAAAUUGAUGAUGAUGAUUGUUUGAGGAUCAGAAAUCGUUUGUGUGUUCCAAGGAAUUCGGAACUCAUUUCGAUGAUUCUGAACGAAGCCCAUUGUUGCCGAAUGUCAAUUCACCCGGGAAGUACGAAAAUGUACAACGAUUUGAAACGUCAAUUUUGGUGGCAUGGUAUGAAACGGGACAUCUUCGACUUUGUUUCGAGAUGUUUAAUAUGUCAACAAGUGAAAGCGGAACAUCAAGUGCUUUCAGGAUUACUCCAGCCGAUCAUGAUACCCGAGUGGAAAUGGGAUCGAGUCACAAUGGACUUUGUGUCCGGACUGCCCUUGUCAGCAAGUAAGAAGGAUGCGAUAUGGGUUAUUGUUGAUAGACUGACUAAGUCGGCUCAUUUCAUCCCCGUACGUACGGAUUUUUCAUUGGAUAAACUAGCUGAAUUGUACGUUUAUCAAAUUGUGAGAUUAUACGGGGUACCUGUUUCUAUCGUGUCGGAUAGAGAUCCGAGAUUCACCUCACGAUUUUGGAAGAAAUUGCAAGAAGCUCUGGGUACUAAGCUGCAUUUUAGCACUGCUUUUCACCCCCAAACCGAUGGUCAAUCCGAGCGGAUAAUUCAGAUACUUGAGGAUAUGUUGAGAUGUUGCAUCCUCGAGUUCAGUAGUUCAUGGGAACGGUAUUUACCUUUGAUUGAAUUCGCUUACAACAAUAGUUUUCAAUCAAGUAUUAAGAUGGCACCUUAUGAGGCUUUGUACGGUCGUAAAUGCCGUACACCAUUGUUUUGGACCGAGCUCGGUGAAAGCAAAAUUUUCGGAGUUGAUUUGAUUAGAGAUGCCGAACAGAAAGUAAAGGUAAUCCGUGAAAGUCUGAAGGUAUCCACGGAUCGUCAGAAAUCGUACGCAGAUUUGAAACGAAAAGACAUCGAGUAUCAGGUGGGAGACAAAGUGUUCCUUAAGGUUUCACCUUGGAAAAAGAUACUCAGGUUCGGCCGUAAGGGCAAGUUGAGCCCAAGAUUCAUUGGGCCGUACGAAAUCUCCGAACGAGUUGGUCCGGUUGCGUAUAGAUUGAUUUUGCCCCCGGAGCUUGAAAAGAUUCAUGACGUCUUUCAUGUUUCGAUGCUUCGACGCUAUCGAUCUGAUCCAUCGCACAUAAUUAGCCCAUCGGAGGUUGAAAUUCAAGUCGACAUGAGCUAUGAAGAAGAACCGAUGCGUAUCCUAGCUCGUGAAGUGAAGGAGUUGAGAAACAAAAGAGUUCCGCUAGUAAAGGUGUUAUGGCUCAAACUCGGGAUCGAGGAAGCUACUUGGGAGACCGAGAGCUCGAUGAAAGAACGAUACCCAAACCUAUUUACUGGUAAGAUUUUCGGGGACGAAAAUUUCUUAAGUGGGGGAGAGUUGUGACAGCCCAAAGUUGACCCUAGUCGGGAAGUGGUUUCGGGACCGCUAAACCGAGUCACCGAAAUGUUUGAAUGUGAUACUUAUUGUGUAGAAUAUGUAAUUAUGAAUGUGUGAAAAUUUCAAGCUUUAAUUGGGUUGAUUUCAUGUGAAUUUAGUCAAUAGGACUUAUGUGAGAAAAUUCUAAAAUGUGAUAGGUCAAUGUGUGAGGACCUACUAGUGCAUGUGGACAAAGGGGGGACUUGCAUGUCAAAUUUCCCCCCCCUAAUGAGUAGUGGCCGGCCAUGACAAGGAAGGAUGGGCAAAACAUGUCAUGAAACAUGUUUUGUUAGUGGAAGAAUAAAAUAAGGAGUAUGGGUAAUAAAGAAAUGGAAAACAAAAGAAAAAAAAAAGGUGUGUGUGGUGUUUGUCCCCCCAUUGCCGUGAGCUAAACAAGAGAAAGGGGGAAUUUUGUUCAUCCUUUUCUCAUCUUCAUGCUUGCCAAAAACUAGAAAGAAAAACAAAGAAAAAUUUUCUCAUCCUUUGGUUCAUCCUUGGCCAAAAAUUUUAAGGAGGAAAGAAGAAGAAAGGUGAAGAGAUUCGGCCAUGCAUGUAGCUAGGCUAAGCUCAAGAGCAAAGGGGAAAUAAAACCGAUAAAGGGAAGGAAAAAGUGGUUGAAUAGCUAGCGGAAUCGUUCGACAACACCCGAGAUUUUUGGUUCUCCAGCUAUCGGACUCGGGAUCUUGAAGUCGAAGUCGCCCACACUAUCAAAGGCUCUUUUGGGUACUAUUUUGGUUGAAUUUUGUUAUGGCAUGUAUAGGACUACCCAUUGUUGUCUUUCGAGUACUUUAUGAAAUGUAUAAGUGUACAGCCAUGCGAAAAUGGCUUGUAGAAGUGGAGUAUGGCAUUAGACCAUUCGUAUUUGUGAAUGUAUAGAUGGUUUCAUGAUGUAACUAUGUUGGAAUGGAAGUGUUGAGCAAAUGAUCAGCCACUAGAAUGGCUAAGUAUGAUCAUAUGUGGGCUUAUGUAUGACAAGGCCCUAGUUGGUCCAUGAAACCCCAAAUUAGGUAAGGUUCACUUUGAAAACAGAAGCUGAU
This 7134-nucleotide long non-coding RNA is filed under the name Gossypium barbadense (sea-island cotton). Its description in RNAcentral is "long non-coding RNA (GBAR_LNC002314)". Lineage: Eukaryota; Viridiplantae; Streptophyta; Magnoliopsida; Malvales; Malvaceae. The record is from RNAcentral.